RNAcentral lists this ribosomal RNA (430 nucleotides) under Bacillota bacterium. RNAcentral's name for it is "Firmicutes bacterium partial 16S ribosomal RNA". It matches the Rfam family "Bacterial small subunit ribosomal RNA", at positions 355 to 776 of the family's 1533-position model. The record is from RNAcentral. Lineage: Bacteria; Bacillati; Bacillota.
UGGGGAAUAUUGGACAAUGGGCGAAAGCCUGAUCCAGCCAUGCCGCGUGUGUGAAGAAGGCCUUUUGGUUGUAAAGCACUUUAAGCGAGGAGGAGGCUACUUGGAUUAAUACUCUAGGAUAGUGGACGUUACUCGCAGAAUAAGCACCGGCUAACUCUGUGCCAGCAGCCGCGGUAAUACAGAGGGUGCGAGCGUUAAUCGGAUUUACUGGGCGUAAAGCGUGCGUAGGCGGCUUCUUAAGUCGGAUGUGAAAUCCCUGAGCUUAACUUAGGAAUUGCAUUCGAUACUGGGAAGCUAGAGUAUGGGAGAGGAUGGUAGAAUUCCAGGUGUAGCGGUGAAAUGCGUAGAGAUCUGGAGGAAUACCGUUGGCGAAGGCAGCCAUCUGGCCUAAUACUGACGCUGAGGUACGAAAGCAUGGGGAGCAAACAGG